RNAcentral lists this ribosomal RNA (397 nucleotides) under uncultured bacterium. RNAcentral describes it as "partial 16S ribosomal RNA". It matches the Rfam family "Bacterial small subunit ribosomal RNA", at positions 523 to 918 of the family's 1533-position model. The record is from RNAcentral.
AUACGUAGGGGGCGAGCGUUGUCCGGAAUGAUUGGGCGUAAAGGGCGCGUAGGCGGCCCGGUAAGUCUGGAGUGAAAGUCCUGUUUUUAAGAUGGGAAUUGCUUUGGAUACUGUCGGGCUUGAGUGCUGGAGAGGUAAGUGGAAUUCCAAGUGUAGGGGUGAAAUGCGUAGAGAUUGGGAGGAAUACCAGUGGCGAAGGCGACUUACUGGGCUGUAACUGACGCUGAGGCGCGAAAGUGUGGGGAGCAAACAGGAUUAGAUACCCUGGUAGUCCACACUGUAAACGAUGAAUGCUAGGUGUAGGGGGUAUCGACCCCUUCUGUGCCGCAGUCAACACAAUAAGCAUUCCGCCUGGGGAGUACGGCCGCAAGGUUGAAACUCAAAUGAAUGGGCGGGG